UGGGGAAUAUUGGACAAUGGGCGCAAGCCUGAUCCAGCCAUACCGCGUGGGUGAAGAAGGCCUUCGGGUUGUAAAGCCCUUUUGUUGGGAAAGAAAUCCAGCCGGCUAAUACCUGGUUGGGAUGACGGUACCCAAAGAAUAAGCACCGGCUAACUUCGUGCCAGCAGCCGCGGUAAUACGAAGGGUGCAAGCGUUACUCGGAAUUACUGGGCGUAAAGCGUGCGUAGGUGGUCGUUUAAGUCCGUUGUGAAAGCCCUGGGCUCAACCUGGGAACUGCAGUGGAUACUGGGCGACUAGAGUGUGGUAGAGGGUAGCGGAAUUCCUGGUGUAGCAGUGAAAUGCGUAGAGAUCAGGAGGAACAUCCAUGGCGAAGGCAGCUACCUGGACCAACACUGACACUGAGGCACGAAAGCGUGGGG
Molecule: ribosomal RNA, 419 nt
Filed under: uncultured bacterium
Lineage: Bacteria
Description: bacterial SSU rRNA
Rfam family: Bacterial small subunit ribosomal RNA
Source: RNAcentral